This 1453-nucleotide ribosomal RNA is filed under the name metagenome. RNAcentral's name for it is "bacterial LSU rRNA". It matches the Rfam family "Bacterial large subunit ribosomal RNA", at positions 1431 to 2910 of the family's 2925-position model. The record is from RNAcentral.
UAACACUCCGUGACUACCUUUAGGAGCGAUGCGGAGACGGAGCAGUGACACUUCCGCGAGCCGACGGAAUGGCACGUUGAAGAGUGUAGACGUAGAUCACGGCAGGCAAAUCCGCCGUGAGAGUCGAACUUGAAAGUACAGGGUCCUCUUCGGAGGAACCUGAUAGCGAGGGUAAGCAUACUCCCGAGAAAAUCCGCUAAGCAAUCCUAAAGGUACCCGUACCGUAAACGGACACACGUAGUCGGGUAGAACAUACUAAGGCGUUGAGAGAUUCAUGGUUAAGGAACUAGGCAAACUGACCCCGUAACUUCGGGAUAAGGGGUCCUCGUGAAAGCGAGGCGCAGAGAAUAGGUCCAGGCAACUGUUUAACAAAAACACAGGGCUGUGCGAACUCGAAAGAUGAAGUAUACAGCCUGACACCUGCCCGGUGCCGGAAGGUUAAGAGGAGAUGUCAACCUUUAUGGCGAAGCAUUGAAUUGAAGCCCCGGUAAACGGCGGCCGUAACCAUAACGGUCCUAAGGUAGCGAAAUUCCUUGUCGGGUAAGUUCCGACCUGCACGAAUGGUGUAAUGAUCCGGACGCUGUCUCAACCAUGAGCUCAGUGAAAUUGUAGUAUCGGUGAAGAUGCCGAUUACCCGCGAUGGGACGAAAAGACCCCGUGAACCUUUACUACAGCUUAGCAUUGACCUUGGUCAUCCGAUGUGUAGGAUAGGCCGGAGGCUUUGAAGCGGCGUCGCCAGGCGUUGUGGAGCCAUCCUUGAAAUACGGCCCUUUGGCUGUCUGAGGUCUAACUCGCGAUAGCGAGGACACUGUUUGGUGGGUAGUUUGACUGGGGUGGUCGCCUCCAAAAGCGUGACGGAGGCUUCCAAAGGUGCCCUCGGGCCGAUUGGUAACCGGCCUUAUAGAGUGCAAUGGCAUAAGGGCGCUUGACUGGGAGGCAGACAUGCCGAGCAGGCAGGAAACUGGGGCAUAGUGAUCCGGCGGAUGUGUAUGGAAACUCCGUCGUUCAAAGGAUAAAAGGUACUCCGGGGAUAACAGGCUGACCCCCCCCAAGAGCUCAUAUCGACGGGGUGUUUGGCACCUCGAUGUCGGCUCGUCACAUCCUGGGGCUGGAGAAGGUCCCAAGGGUUGGGCUGUUCGCCCAUUAAAGUGGCACGCGAGCUGGGUUCAGAACGUCGUGAGACAGUUCGGUCUCUAUCUAUCGUGGGCGCAGGAGUUUUGAGUGGUGCCGUCACUAGUACGAGAGGACCGUGAUGGACAGACCUCCGGUUUGCCAGUUGUACCGCCAGGCGCACCGCUGGGUAUCCGAGUCUGGUUAGGAUAAGCGCUGAAAGCAUCUAAGUGCGAAGCCAUCCGCAAGAUGAGAACUCCAUUGAGGGUCGUUGUAGACGACGACGUAGAUAGGCUGCAGGUGUAAAGACGGUGACGUCAAAGCCGAGCAGUACUAAUUGCCC